This 28-nucleotide non-coding RNA is filed under the name Mus musculus (house mouse). Lineage: Eukaryota; Metazoa; Chordata; Mammalia; Rodentia; Muridae. The record is from RNAcentral.
UGAGGAUCAAAUCUCAAAGCCUUUGUAC